Pan troglodytes (chimpanzee) is the source of this 429-nucleotide long non-coding RNA. RefSeq lists it as uncharacterized. Lineage: Eukaryota; Metazoa; Chordata; Mammalia; Primates; Hominidae. The transcript is spliced from 2 exons. The record is from RefSeq and is a predicted model, not a curated record.
GUUAUGUGACCCUGCUUCAUAGAAUCAUGGGUGUGCAUCACAAUGGCCUCAGAGGUCACUGAGGGUGGCCAGAUGUCUGGGUGGAAGGGUCUCAUCCUGUUUUCCAGCUCCAUUCCAGGCAGCAUCCUCACGAACCAAAGAACGGCAUAAGGGGCCCCUGUUUCCUGAGACCCAGUCAGAGCUCCUAUACUCUCCCACCUUGUUCCUCUGAGCUGACAAAUGACAUCGGAGAGGGGACUAGGUUGGAAGGAAGACAAGGCAUUGCACUCACGCGAGGAGGAUUCAGUCUUGGUCCCUAGGGCGAUGGUGAUGAGGAGGAAGAAGGGAAUGGCAGCCACGGAGAUCUUCAUGCUGUGGGAAGCUGUUGCGGGAGGAGAGCUGGCCUGGUGGGAGCUUCAGAGGCUCCUGCGGUGAGGAAUUGUUGAGAAA